RNAcentral lists this transfer RNA (75 nucleotides) under Pseudomonas aeruginosa. Its description in RNAcentral is "tRNA-Gln (TTG) (tRNA-Gln-TTG-1-1)". It matches the Rfam family "tRNA". From Rfam's summary of the family: Transfer RNA (tRNA) molecules are approximately 80 nucleotides in length. Their secondary structure includes four short double-helical elements and three loops (D, anti-codon, and T loops). RNAcentral also lists the same sequence under 3348 other names. The record is from RNAcentral. Lineage: Bacteria; Pseudomonadati; Pseudomonadota; Gammaproteobacteria; Pseudomonadales; Pseudomonadaceae.
AGGGGCGUCGCCAAGCGGUAAGGCAGCAGGUUUUGAUCCUGCCAUGCGUUGGUUCGAAUCCAGCCGCCCCUGCCA